UGAAAUCAGUGCAUUUGAAUCACCGUUUA
RNAcentral lists this small RNA (29 nucleotides) under Bombyx mori (domestic silkworm). RNAcentral describes it as "ovarian small RNA-30568". The record is from RNAcentral. Lineage: Eukaryota; Metazoa; Arthropoda; Insecta; Lepidoptera; Bombycidae.